This 440-nucleotide ribosomal RNA is filed under the name uncultured bacterium. RNAcentral describes it as "bacterial SSU rRNA". It matches the Rfam family "Bacterial small subunit ribosomal RNA", at positions 338 to 771 of the family's 1533-position model. The record is from RNAcentral.
CCUACGGGGGGCAGCAGUGGGGAAUUGUUCGCAAUGGGCGCAAGCCUGACGACGCAACGCCGCGUGGAGGAUGAAGGUCUUCGGAUUGUAAACUCCUGUUGCUCGGGAAGAAUGGCUCCGACCUAACACGUCGGAGUGUGACGGUACCGGGUGAGGAAGCCCCGGCUAACUCUGUGCCAGCAGCCGCGGUAAUACAGAGGGGGCAAGCGUUGUUCGGAAUUACUGGGCGUAAAGGGCGCGUAGGCGGCCUGUUAAGUCGAACGUGAAAUCCCCGGGCUCAACCCGGGAACUGCGUCCGAUACUGGCAGGCUCGAAUUCGGGAGAGGGAUGUGGAAUUCCAGGUGUAGCGGUGAAAUGCGUAGAUAUCUGGAGGAACACCGGUGGCGAAGGCGGCAUCCUGGACCGACAUUGACGCUGAUGCGCGAAAGCCAGGGGAGCAA